This is a non-coding RNA of Podarcis lilfordi (Lilford's wall lizard), 1098 nucleotides long. NCBI's taxonomy places the organism in Eukaryota, Metazoa, Chordata, Lepidosauria, Squamata, Lacertidae. The record is from the annotation of a GenBank genome assembly.
CCCAUAAACUGCUCAGAACUAGCACCAGAGUCCUUACCAAUUUUCUGCUGUUCACCUUGUCUUUGAUCCAGGAAUAUGCCUCUCCUUUGUGCCUUGGCUCUGCUGAUCAUCGUCUCAGCCUUAAGUAAGUGAUCCAUUUCCUCACCAUUGGAAGAGGUCAACUUUGCUUCAUGUCUCUUCAGGUGAUCAAGAUUCUCCAAGUCAGAUAGAUAAGGGAGUCCAUGGAAAGAUUUGUGGAUGAUCUCCAGUAGAUUGCCAAGUAUCUUGACUCCCAAUUAUUUUAAUGAAAGCAGCAACCAAAAUGCCAAACUCCUGGGUUAUGCUUCUGAAAAGAAGAAAGUUAUCCAGGUACGGCAUUUGUCUGUGGAAGUACUGUGAGCUGCCUUCAGUUCUAGUACUCAAAAAUAAAUUCCUAGCCUCAGAAUUCGUUAAGUCUAAGUGUAUGUCUAUGUGCAUCAGGCUCCAAUUAGUUUUCCUCGGGAUUUUACUAUGAAUCAAAGUCGAUCCUAUACACCUGAAAUCUGAUCUCUUCUGUUCUCAGGGAUAUGUUUAAGCUCAAUGUUGCCUGUGAAUCUGUUGUUGUUUUUACUUGUGACAUUUAAAGGCCCUUGGUGUUAUUCUCAUACUAUCCAUGUGCCUUUGUGAAGGGCGUUGCUCAGGGAAGAGUGCACAUAACACUACAUUCUUUUAAAAGGUGUUCACAGAAAGCUAAGAGUCAAAGGAGCAGGAAUGCUUUGUCGUUUCGUCCAUUUAUCCAUCUAACUUUUCUGUCCUUAUCUUUUGUACAGAGGGGAACGCUGGAGAGUCAGUGACCCAAACUGAAGGCACUGUGACCAUAACUGAAGGAGACCGCAUUGCUCUCAACUGCACCUACACAACUUCUUACUUGGCCUUCCCAUUCUGGUACAUUCAGCAACCCAGCCAACCUCCCAGGCUCUUCCUGGAUGAUUUUGGAGGGGGCUCCUCUUCUGCUGAUGAGGUCAAUCUAGGAUUCAAAGCCAAGCAUGAUAAAGAAAAGAAGACUUUCAACACGGUGAAGAUUGCCAGCCAGCUGAGUGACUCUGCUGUUUAUUUUUGUGCUUUUAGCGACACAGUGGG